CGAAGGGUGCAAGCGUUACUCGGAAUUACUGGGCGUAAAGCGUGCGUAGGUGGUGAGUUAAGUCUGUCGUGAAAGCCCCGGGCUCAACCUGGGAAUGGCGAUGGAUACUGGCUCGCUAGAGUGCGGUAGAGGAGAGUGGAAUUCCCGGUGUAGCAGUGAAAUGCGUAGAGAUCGGGAGGAACAUCAGUUGCGAAGGCGGCUCUCUGGACCAGCACUGACACUGAGGCACGAAAGCGUGGGGAGCAAACAGGAUUAGAUACCCUGGUAGUCCACGCCCUAAACGAUGCGAACUGGACGUUGGGAGCAAUCAGGCUCUCAGUGUCAAAGCUAACGCGUUAAGUUCGCCGCCUGGGGAGUACGGUCGCAAGACUG
This 372-nucleotide ribosomal RNA is filed under the name uncultured organism. Its description in RNAcentral is "bacterial SSU rRNA". It matches the Rfam family "Bacterial small subunit ribosomal RNA", at positions 526 to 896 of the family's 1533-position model. The record is from RNAcentral.